This 444-nucleotide ribosomal RNA is filed under the name uncultured Bacillota bacterium. RNAcentral describes it as "bacterial SSU rRNA". It matches the Rfam family "Bacterial small subunit ribosomal RNA", at positions 917 to 1359 of the family's 1533-position model. The record is from RNAcentral. Lineage: Bacteria; Bacillati; Bacillota.
GGGCCCGCACAAGCAGCGGAGCAUGUGGUUUAAUUCGAAGCAACGCGAAGAACCUUACCAGGGCUUGACAUCCCUCCGAUACUGUAGAAAUGCAGUAGGCCUUUCGGGGCGGGGGAGACAGGUGGUGCAUGGUUGUCGUCAGCUCGUGUCGUGAGAUGUUGGGUUAAGUCCCGCAACGAGCGCAACCCUUAUCUUCAGUUACUAACGCGUAGAGGCGAGGACUCUGGAGAGACUGCCGGGGAUAACUCGGAGGAAGGUGGGGACGAUGUCAAAUCAUCAUGCCCCUUAUGUUCUGGGCUACACACGUGCUACAAUGGCCGCAACAAAGAGCAGCGAAUACGCAAGUACGAGCGAAUCUACAAAAAGCGGUACUCAGUUCAGAUCGUGGGCUGCAACCCGCCCACGUGAAGUCGGAGUUGCUAGUAAUCGCGGAUCAGCAUGCCG